Molecule: long non-coding RNA, 1925 nt
Organism: Oreochromis aureus
Lineage: Eukaryota; Metazoa; Chordata; Actinopteri; Cichliformes; Cichlidae
Source: Ensembl
UCAAAAUCCUUUUUCCACCUGCAAUUUAAUAAACUGCAGUUCAAAAUCCUUUUUCCACCUGCAAUUUAAUAAACUGCAGUUCAAAAUCCCUUUUCCACUUGCAAUUUAAUAAACUGCAUUUUAAAAUCCUUUUUUCAGUUGCAAUUUAAUAAACUGCAGUUCAAAAUCCUUUUUCCACUUGCAAUUUAAUAAACUGCAGUUCAAAAUCCUUUUUCCACUUGCAAUUUAAUAAACUGCAGUUCAAAAUCCUUUUUCCACCUGCAAUUUAAUAAACUGCAGUUCAAAAUCCCUUUUCCACUUGCAAUUUAAUAAACUGCAGUUCAAAAUCCAUUUCCCUUUCCUGUUCGCUCCUGGAUUAGUUGCUGGAUUAGCUCUUCGAUUAACAAUUUGCUGGAGGCUAUUCAAAUUAGCCACACCGUGGGAUGUAAGGAGCUCUCUGAUUGGUUGGUCGGACACAGGCUGUCUGCCAGCCUGGAUUUUUCUAGCUCAUAGCUUCUCCCUGCUAGGAAGCGUGUGUGCUUGUACAAAGGCCGUUCAGCGUCGGGAUUUACACUCGGCUCGACAAGGAUAAGUGAAGAAUGAAGGGACCCUGCAGCGAAACGGAGAGCCAACCUCUGACUGAGUGCCUGUUUACACAUUCUGACCACCUGUUGAAGGGCUGUUUGAUGACGAUUUGGACUCCUCUGGGAGAUGAGGACACACCCACAUCUGUUCCAUACUGCAGCCAUUGAUGGUGUUACAGCUCUGAGUCAGCUUUGGGCCAUCAGACGCACACACUGGAAAACCAGCACCUGGACUUCAUGCAGGAGAGAUGACCUCAGUGAUGAUUGACUCUGCAUCCUCUACUUUACCUCUAAUCUCUUUCUUCUUUAACACACAAUUAAAAUCACUCCAAAAGAGUGUAAACUUACUGAGGAAGUCUCUAACUUGUACACAUUUGUACUUUUACUUGUUUUAUGAGUUAUUUUUAAGAAGAGUAAAGUUAUUCACAUAAAGUUGUUAUUCUUCUGUAUUUAUUCUUUUGUAUCAUGUACCACAGUCAUACUGAACUUUACAGACCUGGUGAAUUGGAGAAAACAAAGAUCACACACACAUAUCAUUCAGCUUCAGCAGUAUUUCUAUUCAUCUUAUGAAUUCCAGUCUAAUGUCAAUUCACUGAGUUCAGUUUUGGUCUUAAACUCCAGAGAAUACCACCUGGUUCAACAAUCUUUUUAUCUGAUUAUUGGCAAAAUGUUUUCUUCUGAAAGAAGAAAACAUUCUGAAAGAAGAAAACAUUUUGGGCUCAAUUUCAGCCUCAGGCAAAAUUGAGCCCAAAGAAACAACAAAGUUUAGUUCCUCUGGAUUUUCCAUGGAAAAUUGUUUUAUCACUCAUCCAGGUGACUUCUCCAGUGUCACGGAUGAGUGAUGAAUGUUUCUCCCACUGGAAACCAUUGUGUCCAGUUAAAGUCAAUCGACUUUUUUUAAGGAGAGUUGUUAGAUGCUGUGCUCAUGAGGACAAUGGGUUUUAACUUGCAGCACAACACAAAGCUGCCAUACUGGAUCAACGAUCAAAACACUUAAUUGAGCAGAAUUAAGGCAAAAUGUAAUAUCCUCAUAUGAUGACACAUCACACAUGACCCAGCAUUGUUCUAAGAAUGCAAACUUUCUUAUUGGAAGUUUCCACAGCUGCCAGAAAGGGACAGAUUUCUGGCUGGUCUUAAUGAGUGGUCGUUGCUCUCUCGUUUUCUCUGGAAUUGCUGCGCAGAGGAUGUAACACCCAUGAUAAGCGCUGAGGUGUGUCCUUGUCAGAAAUCAGCAAUACUCAGCUUCCAGGUAAGGAAAAGUGGAACCAGAAGAUAUUCAAAUGCAUCUCUCCACAGCUGCUGAUGAAUUCUACAAAAACAAAGUUUGUUAAAAACAUUUGCAGGUGAAUCACCACUGAUUUA